CUACCCUUGACAUGGCAGGAAUUUUCCAGAGAUGGGAAAGUGCUCGAAAGAGAACCUGCACACAGGUGCUGCAUGGCUGUCGUCAGCUCGUGUCGUGAGAUGUUGGGUUAAGUCCCGCAACGAGCGCAACCCUUGUCAUUAGUUGCUACGCAAGAGCACUCUAAUGAGACUGCCGGUGACAAACCGGAGGAAGGUGGGGAUGACGUCAAGUCCUCAUGGCCCUUAUGGGUAGGGCUUCACACGUCAUACAAUGGUCGGUACAGAGGGUUGCCAACCCGCGAGGGGGAGCUAAUCUCAGAAAACCGAUCGUAGUCCGGAUCGCAGUCUGCAACUCGACUGCGUGAAGUCGGAAUCGCUAGUAAUCGCGGAUCAGAAUGCCGCGGUGAAUACGUUCCC
This 396-nucleotide ribosomal RNA is filed under the name uncultured Pseudomonadota bacterium. RNAcentral describes it as "bacterial SSU rRNA". It matches the Rfam family "Bacterial small subunit ribosomal RNA", at positions 975 to 1375 of the family's 1533-position model. Lineage: Bacteria; Pseudomonadati; Pseudomonadota. The record is from RNAcentral.